This 110-nucleotide microRNA precursor is filed under the name Polistes canadensis. Its description in RNAcentral is "microRNA pca-mir-1000 precursor". The stretch from base 14 to 85 matches the Rfam family "mir-1000 microRNA precursor family". Lineage: Eukaryota; Metazoa; Arthropoda; Insecta; Hymenoptera; Vespidae. The record is from miRBase by way of RNAcentral.
CAUGUGGACCAGUGCCGGGGAUAUUGUCCUGUCACAGCAGUACGCCUUCAAAAAGUUACUGGUGUGAUGGGACAUUGUCCUCGUCUCGUGGUCCAUUCAACGCCACCGCC